This is a long non-coding RNA of Hemibagrus wyckioides, 764 nucleotides long. RefSeq lists it as uncharacterized. The record is from RefSeq and is a predicted model, not a curated record. The transcript has 4 exons. Lineage: Eukaryota; Metazoa; Chordata; Actinopteri; Siluriformes; Bagridae.
AAAAGUAUCCUUUAAGUCACUGUAAGUAACCUUUAAGUCCAUGGAGGCUCCACCUUGCAAUUUACAGGACUUAAAGGAUCUGCUGCUAACAUCUUGGUGCCAGAUCCCAUAGCACACCUUCAGGGAUCUAGUGGAGUCCAUGCCUCGACAGGUCAGGGAUGGUUUGGCAGCAAAAGGAGGACCGACACAAUAUUAGGCAAUGUUAUGCCCGAUCAGUGUAGUCUCAUCACUUGGAGGCUUUUUCCUGCUCAGGUGCUGAAGAUACAUGGACCUGUUGUGGAUAGAACCACUUAGAGAUCAUGGAGAACACCUUGGACUGCUAUGAAUACGAUCAGACAUGAAGAUCUGGGUAAAGUACAGCAAGGACAAAACCUAACAGCUGGCCAGAUGCAGAGGUGUCUGUCUGAUAGAGGAGGAGGAGGAAGAGAGCUGCUGCCAUGUGCUCCUUCACUUCUCCACUGCUGAAGAGACACAAAGCUCUCUGUGCUCGACUCUCCUCCCUGAAUAGCGCAGCAGAAGGAGGCUGAGCAGCCAGUUUUUAGUCCAAACCCUCAUCAGUCCUCGAGUCUCAGCUUCAUCUUCCAUGAUGUUCCUUUAACAGUUUCUAAUCUGAAGGACAAGGACAGCAUUAACAUGAAGUCAAGAAGGAACAGAAACAAACUGACCACUGACCCUCACAUCUGAAACUAUGAAUAAACACACACUCACACACACACACACACACCCCACAAUACUCACACACUCACACACACACACACACAACA